This 31-nucleotide non-coding RNA is filed under the name Homo sapiens (human). The record is from RNAcentral. Lineage: Eukaryota; Metazoa; Chordata; Mammalia; Primates; Hominidae.
GCUCGCGACAUGACUGCUCGGUUUGGGGGAC